UAUUGAGAUGAGGGAAAGCAUGGCAAUACAACAAACUGACCAAGAACAUGUAAAUUCUAGUGUUCCUCCUGUCCAAGUUGCAUCUUUUGCUUCUAUAGUGAAUGGGAAAACAUCUACAUCGAAUAUGGAUAAAAAUUCAAAGACAGAAGAAUGAAGGAAUGCAAACACUAUAGCUCAAGUGUUUUAACAAAUUGCUAGAAACAACAAGCAAGCUCCCAGCUUCAAAGCUAAGAAGUUCAAUAAUCUCCAUUGAGAAAUCUCAGCUUAUAAAAGUCAUAUCAGUUAUGGAUUUCCAGUGAAUGCCAACUGAGGUUACCAAAGAAAACCAUGUGAUACAUUUUGAAAGGUGGAAUGAAACAAAAUGUUGCAUAUAAGUCGGGAAAAAUAGCUUUAUUCAAUAUUUCUCCAGCAAACUAAUGCCACACAUGAACUGAAAUGUUUUCACUUUGCUCCACGUAGUAUACAUUUGAUUUUUGUUCAAAGCAGUUUUCAGAAAUAGCUGUUUUAGUAACUUGUGAAACUUGGCCUAAUGGCAAAAAUUCAGCAGAGGCUAAAAUACAUGAAAAUAUGCCUGACAAUUGUUUAUGUUUGUAAAAUGGCAUUCAUUUUCCAGUAUUUCUAAAGUUUAAAUCAAGAUCCCAGUCUUAAUUUCUUUUCAGAUUGCUAAAGCAUUGAAUAACUGGAACCUGCACUGAUGUCAGUGGAAUAGCCAAAAAACAGUUGUAGGUUAAUCAAAUGGGCUACAUUACACUUGGUCAGAAUAUGCAUGUUUCAUACAAAGUUAUUUCAUUAGAGGUCUCUGUAUUUUGUCUUUGGGGAACAGACAAAUGGCCUCUUAUAUACUGCUAUUAAACCUAACAUUUCAGUGAGCCUUAGCGUUCAUAAUAUGGCACAUUGGUUGUUUAUUUUCCUCUUGGAACAUUUGACCUCUAAUGUCUAAAAUAUCUGUGCCCUUAGUUGUCAUUAGGUCAGAAAUAAUACCAGAAAUUAAAUGUGAAUAUAUACAACUACACACACACACGUGCAUCUCUCUCUCUCUCUCUGUAUAUAUAUAUAUAUAUAUAUAUAUAUAUAUAUAUAUAUAUAUAUAUAUAUAUAUAUAUAUAUAUAAAACCCAUAUGGCCAGCACCAUAAGAUCAACAAUUCAGUCCAUCAAAAAAAAAUGUAAACACAAACAACUCCUGCAUACAACAGAAACAAAGCUUUUGCAGGGUACCACCACAACCCCUGUUAUUUAUAUACACCAACUCCAAGAUUGCAGUACAGUGGGAAAAUGGACAAUUUCCUGAUGCCAACUGUAUUGGGAUCUCAGCCAAAAUCGUUCAGUGGAAUGAAUUGUCAAUCACAUGGUCUUGACCAUAAGGAAUCAAUGAUCUGUUCAGUCAAUCUUUUGACAAAGACCCAUUUUUAUCUAUAUAAAUAUCUCUA
Protopterus annectens (West African lungfish) is the source of this 1428-nucleotide long non-coding RNA. RefSeq lists it as uncharacterized. The transcript has 3 exons. The record is from RefSeq and is a predicted model, not a curated record. Lineage: Eukaryota; Metazoa; Chordata; Ceratodontiformes; Protopteridae.